AAACUGACAGACGUGAGAGUUAUGUUUUUUUUCGCUGUAAUGAUAGUCGUCAACGCAGGUGGAUUCAGUUCUGAAUUCAGAGUGGAAGUGAAAAGGGGAGAGAAAGUCACCUUACUCGACGAGAAAUCUGGAUUGGAGUAUGUCAACAGAGUGAAAUUAUACGAAAAUCAGACAAGGGAGGAGAUCAUCAUCUACUGUUCCUCCGAAGAGAAGGUGACUGGCUGCAAAGCAAAGAACUCUUCUACAUUUUUACUCCAGAUUGAGAACACCAGCGUCUCUUUAACUCCUCUUGAUGCCAGUGAAGCGGGAUGUUAUGUUGUCGAAAUUAUGUGGUCAAGAAACUCGUUGUAGUCAACGGGUCACUGGACACUGCUAAAGCCUGGACAAUCGGCCUAGAACAAAUUUGCUUAAUCGCAGCGGGCAUCGCAGGAUUGACUGCAGUGGUCAUUUUGGCCGUCAUUGGUGUCAUCAACCGCAUAUGUCAAAAGACCCAGAGUAAUCCUGAUGCUGAUGCUGAUGCUGGUGAUGGAGAUCCAGAUGAGACAACUUCUGUCAUCUCAACCACCAGUGGAGGUAAAGAUGACACAAAUGAUUCCUACGAGAUGGUGGACAAUUCGAGCUUUUGCUCGGUUGAUAUGGAGAAGAAGAAACUUGGAGACCUGGACAUCUUCCGAUUAGAUAAUUUAAAAAAUAAUAAUAAUAGUAAUGAUUCUAAUAAUAAUAGUCAAAAGAACUAUAGUAAUAAUUAAUUAAUUUUUAGAAUCUUAAAAAAAAAUUAUUUGCUCUUGCAUUGCUUGCUAUUGUUUAAUCUUAUGAUUAAAUGAUUUCUUUGUUAACUGGCUUAAUUCAGCUCUUUUUGGCUUCUUUUAGUUCAUACAGUUU
Molecule: long non-coding RNA, 882 nt
Filed under: Sinocyclocheilus anshuiensis
Lineage: Eukaryota; Metazoa; Chordata; Actinopteri; Cypriniformes; Cyprinidae
Description: lncRNA (ENSSANG00000026382.1)
Source: RNAcentral